GGAGGGUGCAAGCGUUGUUCGGAAUUAUUGGGCGUAAAGAGCGUGUAGGCGGUCCGGUAAGUCAGAUGUGAAAGCCCUGGGCUCAACCCAGGAAGUGCAUUUGAAACUACCAGACUUGAGUACGGGAGAGGAGGGGGGAAUUCCCGGUGUAGAGGUGAAAUUCGUAGAUAUCGGGAGGAAUACCAGUGGCGAAGGCGCCCCUCUGGACCGAUACUGACGCUGAGACGCGAAAGCGUGGGGAGCAAACAGGAUUAGAUACCCUGGUAGUCCACGCCGUAAACGAUGAGCACUAGGUGUAGCGGGUAUUGACCCCCCUGCUGUGCCCGCAGCUAACGCAUUAAGUGCUCCGCCUGGGGACUACGGUCGCAAGCUA
RNAcentral lists this ribosomal RNA (373 nucleotides) under uncultured organism. RNAcentral describes it as "partial 16S ribosomal RNA". It matches the Rfam family "Bacterial small subunit ribosomal RNA", at positions 527 to 896 of the family's 1533-position model. The record is from RNAcentral.